RNAcentral lists this ribosomal RNA (459 nucleotides) under uncultured bacterium. Its description in RNAcentral is "partial 16S ribosomal RNA". It matches the Rfam family "Bacterial small subunit ribosomal RNA", at positions 338 to 795 of the family's 1533-position model. The record is from RNAcentral.
CCUACGGGAGGCAGCAGUGAGGAAUAUUGGUCAAUGGCCGCAGGGCUGAACCAGCCAAGUCGCGUGAGGGACGACGGUCCUAUGGAUUGUAAACCUCUUUUGUCAGGGAGCAAAGGGCGCCACGUGUGGCGCUUUGCGAGUACCUGAAGAAAAAGCAUCGGCUAACUCCGUGCCAGCAGCCGCGGUAAUACGGAGGAUGCGAGCGUUAUCCGGAUUUAUUGGGUUUAAAGGGUGCGCAGGCGGAAGGUCAAGUCAGCGGUAAAAUUUCGGGGCUCAACCCCGUCGUGCCGUUGAAACUGGCGUUCUUGAGUGAGCGAGAAGUAUGCGGAAUGCGUGGUGUAGCGGUGAAAUGCAUAGAUAUCACGCAGAACUCCGAUUGCGAAGGCAGCAUACCGGCGCUCAACUGACGCUCAUGCACGAAAGCGUGGGUAUCGAACAGGAUUAGAUACCCGAGUAGUC